CUGGCCGCUCGCUGAGCUGCUUCCCUGGAUGCCGAGAAUGGGCAAAUUCCUGGAGAAGAUGCUGGAAGACUUCUCUCCAAGGCCUCCACAGAUGUCUCCUGGACGGAGAGAGACUCGGCCUCCUGUACCCAGAAGG
Molecule: long non-coding RNA, 136 nt
Organism: Sarcophilus harrisii (Tasmanian devil)
Lineage: Eukaryota; Metazoa; Chordata; Mammalia; Dasyuromorphia; Dasyuridae
Exons: 3
Source: RefSeq, a predicted model, not a curated record